GAUCCUGGCUCAGGAUGAACGCUAGCUACAGGCUUAACACAUGCAAGUCGAGGGGAAACGACAUCGAAAGCUUGCUUCCGAUGGGCGUCGACCGGCGCACGGGUGAGUAACGCGUAUCCAACCUGCCCACCACUUGGGGAUAACCUUGCGAAAGUAAGACUAAUACCCAAUGAUAUCUCUAGAAGACAUCUGAAAGAGAUUAAAGAUUUAUCGGUGAUGGAUGGGGAUGUGU
This 232-nucleotide ribosomal RNA is filed under the name uncultured bacterium. Its description in RNAcentral is "partial 16S ribosomal RNA". It matches the Rfam family "Bacterial small subunit ribosomal RNA", at positions 15 to 236 of the family's 1533-position model. The record is from RNAcentral.